AUUGAACGCUGGCGGCAGGCUUAACACAUGCAAGUCGAGCGAGCGGCGGACGGGUGAGUAAUGUCUGGGAAACUGCCUGAUGGAGGGGGAUAACUACUGGAAACGGUAGCUAAUACCGCAUACCAUCAGAUGUGCCCAGAUGGGAUUAGCUAGUAGGUGGGGUAAUGGCUCACCUAGGCGACGAUCCCUAGCUGGUCUGAGAGGAUGACCAGCCCGACUGGGACGAAGACCCGGUCCGGCAUCCUACGGGAGGCAGCAGGGGGGAAUAUUGAACAGUGGGCGCAAGCCUGAUUCAGCCAUGCCGCGUGUGUGAAGAAGGCCUUCGUGUUGUGAAGCACUUUCAGCUAGGAGGCGUUACUCGCGGAAGAAGCACCGGCUAACUCCGUGCCAGCAGCCGCGGUAAUAC
This 406-nucleotide ribosomal RNA is filed under the name uncultured bacterium. Its description in RNAcentral is "partial 16S ribosomal RNA". It matches the Rfam family "Bacterial small subunit ribosomal RNA", at positions 30 to 526 of the family's 1533-position model. The record is from RNAcentral.